AAUCAAUUUCUUCCAGCUUUCUAAUAUCUCUCCCAUUAAGCCUUCUGAGGAGAGGAACUACACCUGUUUUAUCUUGGUAACUAGCACUUUGCACCAUGCCUGACACAGAGGAGGUGUUUUAAAACUGUCUUUCAAUGGAUUACCACAGAAAAAAGUUGCUCACCUCUAGAAGAUGCUAGAGCAGGUACAGUGGAAAGAGCAUGGACUUGGAGGGCAGACAAAGGCAUGGACUUCGUGUUGAACUGCAGGUUUGAGCCAAGGAAUGGUGAGGUUUCCCAGUCUGGCAGCUGGGCAUCCUCCUCCCCAAAGCAAGAGUACCGGGAUAUGCCAAGGGGUUCUUAAAGCUGGAACUCAUGGAUUUCCCUGGCUGAUUGGAGCAUCACUGCUGCCAGCAAAGCCCAAGGUGUGAGCUCUACAUUAUGCUGAGAUGGCUAUGUACAAGUAUAUCCAGAAUGACGGUGGAUACGUUGAAAGUCCAAUCAACUGUGCUAAAUCUUGAAUCAGUUCUCUCUGUUGCCUUUUGCAGGUUGUUUAAGUUUUGUAUAGAAGUGGAUAUUUUGAACAUUGAAACUGCACAAGGGCUUUAUGGUUGCUCUGCUCACCUCUAUUUCUUCUUCUCCUGCUAGGAAACCCCAUUAUCCUCAGAACAAGUCUCUCCACCUCCUGCUCUUGCCUGAUGCUGUAUGGCUCUGAUGGCUUGUCCUGUGUCCCCUUAGCCCAGGUGCUAAGUGGUCUCUGUUCCCUUAAAAUAACUGUUUUGGGAUGUUAUGGGUCCUGUUUUAAAAAUCCCCUCAUCCCUCUUCUUUUCUCUCUUCUAAAGGGCAGCCUUACCAUCUCCUUUUAAGAACAGAAGUCUUUUCUUUCUGCCUCUUAAAGUCAGUAGCUGGUUUGUCACCCAAUAACAAAAGCCCACAAUAUCCUGACCUCAAAGACUAGGAAGGUAGGUGGUGCUAAGGUCAGGGAUUGGGAGUCUUAGAGAGCCAGCAACACAGUGUCAUCUCUCUGAAAAGUAAAUUUCCAGUAGCUAGCAAGAGAUUUACAAAUGCUGAAAUCUCUUAGUCUACUAAUUCCUUUCAUACAAUCAAAGAUAUGUGCAAAGAUUUAUGUUCAUCAUACUGUCACUCCUCAUAGAGAAAAGCAUGGGAGUAACACCCAUGUCUGUCAGUAGGGCUUGGAUGGAUAAAGUCUAUUAUUGAGUCCUUUGCAAUCAUUCAAAAUCAUGUUUGAAUAUAAUAGAUGGGAAAAUGAUCAUACUAUAAUGCUAAUUGAAAAAAGAUAUAAAACUGUAUAUAUGUUCUCAUCUCAAAUUUUUAAAAAAUAAAAAUGUGCUUAUUUUAUAUAUAUAAACAUAUAUAUAUAGUUUAUAUUUAAAAAUAAAAAUGUGCUUAACUCUGAAAUUUGUCUUUUUGACUUAAGGAUAUAUUAUGGACAUCCCUUUAGGGUCAUAUUUAUAGAAUUGACUCAUUCUUUUAAAUUAUACUGUAUUUUAUUGUAUGGCUAAAUUGAAAUUUAUUGGACCAUUUUCUUAUUGAUGAAAUUCAAGUGCUUUUAGGUUUUGUUCAGUUUUUAAAAUUGUAAAUGGACAAUUUAUAAUUAUAUAGAACUAUGGGGUAAAAAGCACUGUUAUGAUUUAUGAAUACAAUGUGAAAUAAUUAAAUCAAGCUAAUUAACAUACUCAUCAUCUCAAAUACUUAACAUAUUUUGUGGUGAGACCAUCUGAAAUUUACUCUCUUAGCAAUUUUGAAAUGUGCAAUACUCUAUUCUUAACUAGAUUCACCACACUGUGUAAUAAAACUCCGAAAAAGAAAAAAGCAACAUAUUCCUCCUAUCUAGCUGAAAUUUUGUACCCUCUGACCAUCAGCUCUCUGCUCUCUCCCCACCCCCUACCAUCUGUAACCACCAUUCUACUCUGCUUCUAUGAGUUUCAUUGCUUUAGAUUCCACACAUAAGUGAGAACAUGCAGUAUUUGCCUUUCUGUGCCUGUCUUACUUCACUUAGCAUCAUGUUCUCCAAUUCCAUCCAUGUUGUCGCAGAUAACAGAGUUUCCUUCUUCUUAAAGGCUGAAUUGUAUUCUAUUGUGUAUAUAUGCCAUAUUUCCCUUAUUCACUCCUCUGUUGAUGGACACUUAGGUUGAUUCUAUAACUUGGCUAUUGUGAAUAGUGCUGCAAUGAACAUGGGGGUGCAGGCAUCUCUUUAACAAACAGAUUUCACAUCUUUUGGGUAAAUACUCAGAAGUGGUAUUGCUGGAUCAUAUAGUAAUUCUAUUUUUAGUUUUGGAGACACCUCUAAAAUGUUGUCCAUAAUGGUUGUACUAAUUCAUAUUUCUACCAACAGUUCACAACAGUUCCCCUUCUGCCACGUUCUUGCUGACAUUUAUUAUCUUUUGUCUUUUUGAUAAAAGCCAUUCUGACAAAUCUGAGAUAUAUCUCAUUGUGAUUUUAAUUUGCAUUUUCCUAAUAAUUAGAAAUGUUGAACAUUUUUCCACUUACCUGUUGGCCAUUCGUGUGUCUUCUUUUGAAAAAUGUCUAUUCUUAUGUAUUUUUUUUAAAAUAUGGUCAUAGCAGAAAAUAACUUCAGUGUUAAACCACAGUUAUCUCUGGGAGGUUGAAUAUUGUGUAAUUAAACAUUUUUAAUUUUAAAUUGUAUAUUUUUCAUGUUUUCUAUACUGAGUAUCUUUCUUUUAGAAUCAGAAAAAUGUACAAAUAAUUUAAAACAAACGCCUUGAAAAAUGAACAAUCUUACCUAGUAUUCAAAGAAAUGCAAAUUAAAAUGUUAUUUUUGUUUCUAUCUCAGUAAAUAAGGAAAUAUGGAGUAAAAGAGUAAUCUUCCUGCUGAGCAUGUUUUGCGGUUGCCAGCGCUGCCCCGGGUGUGUCUGGAGGAACACUCCCUGUUGCCUAACAACUGCUGUAAUGUAACGGAAAUAGAAGCACGAUGCCACACAUCCCUCAGAAAACGACUUGGCCCUUGGCCCUCCUGUGGAUGAAGAGUAUAUUGAAGAGAAACUGGAUAUUUCUAAAUUUGCUAAGACUCGCUUUUCUCACUUGCUCUCAGAUCACACUACUUUUGAGUAGCCCAAAAUUUUGUUGCCAACUCAGCAAGUUAAGCAAACAAUAUUACAAAUCAUGUUGAAACUGAAGUGGUCCCCAUGGGCCAGUGAGUACGGUGCAGGUGGAGAAAAAAUUAGCUGCUGAGUUAGGACAAACUGCUCCAAUUUUGAAGGCACAAAUGGGCAUCAUCUUGGGCCCGGGUACUACCCAAGGUGGACCUCUCAAUCAGGCUCUUAUGCUCCCAGGUGUAGUUGUUGGGUGAACUCUCUCCCUGGAUGCUCAGGGACAGCAUCUCAGAGAGAGGUGAAUGGAAAAACCAUGAGACCCUGUACACACUCUAGGUGCAAUGGAUUACAAGGGUUGAUAGCUCUUCUUAGUAACCGAAAGCCUAUAUGCUCCAUCUUUCUUGAUGGCAAGGUCCCUGGGAAGGAGACAUUCUCUUAGAAUGUCAUUAAAUGACCAUAGAAUAAGCAUGAAGUGAGUGGAAUUAUGUGGAAGGGAUUCAGCAUUUUACCCAAGCACUGGGCAGCCCCUGGGUGUGGCUGUCCCUCCACAGUGGCCUGUCUGUCUAAGUCUUGACCCACCCACCCAGAUCCUCUUGGAAGCCACUGAUAGCAUUUGCCUCUGGGAAUUCUGCAGCCUUUGCUGAUGAGUCUCAGUUGACACCAUCUAUCAUUGCAGAUACAGAUGUCUCCAAAAGGCAAUUGCCAAAGGCUGUGCCACACAGCACACACCUGUCCAUGUGCAGAUUGAUUCUGUUAAACUCUUCAGCUAUCUUGUGGGCUGCUUUUCCCUGCCUCAUUAUCUGCCUGCAGACCUUCCUUCUGUGUUCUCUGCUCUUAGAGGUCAGAUUGAUCUGUAUUUUUAUCAAGAUGAGGAAGGAGAUGGUAGACUGUGAAUCAAGGAUCUACCUCUCCCAGUAAUUCACUGUGGCAUCUUGGGGCACCUGCUGGCCCUCUCUGAGCCUCCAUUUUCUUACCCACGAAAUGUGGAUUUGGACCCAGUUAUCUCCAACCACCCAAGAGUCUGUGAUUCUGCUACUAAGAAAAGCAAAAGGCAAGUACAAGAUAGCAUGUGUUUAGUUGCUGGGGAAAGCUCAGUCUAAUAUUAAAAAUAAUAAGUAUAAAAAUAAUCACCACCAUUCACUCGAGCUUGCUUUGCCAGUUCUGCACUGUGAUCUUUGCAGGGGUAAUCUUACUGAAUCCUCUGCUCCAACCCUACCAGGUGGGAACUACUUUUAUCUUUAUUUUUCUGAUGAGGAGAUUGAGCCUCAGAGAUGUUAAGCAACCUGCCGAAGCAGAGAGUUAAUAUGUCGGGAUUCAUCACAGGCAGAUCCCUCUGCUCUUGGGAAGCCCAGACCUCAGAAGCAGGAGUGGGUCUGAUUCAGGUGUGCUCUGAGGGCCAGCUGUCCUUUCCAAAAAUGCCUUCCUUUAUUUAGACACCAACAUCCUUGCUAUUUUGGAUUUUUCAAUGAGCUUCCUUAUUUUCUCCCUAUUCUGUCCUAUUCAGCAAAAUGAAUGAAUAAAUAUAGGUUCCUAAUGUUACAAAUUUAAUUUUCUUCUAGAAAUGAAAGUGUUUAUUUCUCUUCUUUUAUUUCUCAAGCCAAAAUAAUUAUUUCCUCCUUCUUAGAAGUCCAGGAAUAGGUUAAACUUUAAUUAAAAGUCUUAUGGUUCAACAGUUGGAAUGAGGAUCAGGUAAUAACGAAGAAACCCCGUAAACACCCUGAGGAGAACCAGCACCCCCUCCAUUGGUUGUUUUAGCUCAGCCCACAGCUAACAGCUCAGCUCAGAAAGUUCCUACCACCCACUCCGCUUCUAACGCCUUUUAAUAUUCGCACAGAGUUUUCUCACAUUGUGGCUCUCACACACUUCCUUUAUACAUGCUGUUUCCUCAGCCUGGAAUGCCACCUCUUUCUUUACCUGGAGAACCCCUGUCCCUUAAAGACGCAGGUCAGAAGUCACGUAGUACUCCUCUGCUACCACCUAAUGCAAAGCGUGAUUAUUCCUUCACUUCUCUUCUGCAUUUAAAUUAUUGAGGGAAGAGGCUUGGUCUCAUUGCCUUUGGAAUAGCUCUGGAUCUGCGUUCAUGUUUUGUAUAUAAUACGACUCAGUAAAGGUUGUGUAAUAUAUGACUUUCAUAUGUGUGUAUGCAAAGAUAAUGUGUUCCCAUGCCCUUUGACUCAGUUUUCCCCAUGGCAAUGAAUUUAACCACAGGAAAUAAUUGAAUAGGAGAAAGAAGAUUACACAGAUGGAAGUUCUAUAAAAUAUGUAUUUGCUAAACAUUGGAAACAAGUUAAAUGUUUAUCAAUUGAGUAAUGGCAAGUAAAUUGGGGUACAUGAUC
Molecule: long non-coding RNA, 5388 nt
Filed under: Homo sapiens (human)
Lineage: Eukaryota; Metazoa; Chordata; Mammalia; Primates; Hominidae
Description: HSALNT0311302
Source: RNAcentral